This 610-nucleotide ribosomal RNA is filed under the name Calothrix sp. LCRNK10. Its description in RNAcentral is "bacterial SSU rRNA". It matches the Rfam family "Bacterial small subunit ribosomal RNA", at positions 133 to 772 of the family's 1533-position model. Lineage: Bacteria; Bacillati; Cyanobacteriota; Cyanophyceae; Nostocales; Calotrichaceae. The record is from RNAcentral.
AAANGCAGAUNUACAUCAUCUGGCAACGGUGGCUAAUACCGGAUGUGCCGAAAGGUCGAAAGAUUUAUUGCCUGAAGAUGAGCUCGCGUCUGAUUAGCUAGUAGGUGUGGUAAGAGCGCACCUAGGCGACGAUCAGUAGCUGGUCUGAGAGGAUGAUCAGCCACACUGGGACUGAGACACGGCCCAGACUCCUACGGGAGGCAGCAGUGGGGAAUUUUCCGCAAUGGGCGAAAGCCUGACGGAGCAAUACCGCGUGAGGGAGGAAGGCUCUUGGGUUGUAAACCUCUUUUCUCAGGGAAGAACAUAAUGACGGUACCUGAGGAAUAAGCAUCGGCUAACUCCGUGCCAGCAGCCGCGGUAAUACGGAGGAUGCAAGCGUUAUCCGGAAUGAUUGGGCGUAAAGCGUCCGCAGGUGGCUAUGUAAGUCUGCUGUUAAAGAGUGAGGCUCAACCUCAUAAGAGCAGUGGAAACUACAUAGCUAGAGUGCGUUCGGGGCAGAGGGAAUUCCUGGUGUAGCGGUGAAAUGCGUAGAGAUCAGGAAGAACACCGGUGGCGAAAGCGCUCUGCUAGGCCGCAACUGACACUGAGGGACGAAAGCUAGGGGAGCGAA